UGGGGUAAAGGCCUACCAAGGCAUCGAUCAGUAGCUGGUCUGAGAGGACGACCAGCCACACUGGAACUGAGACACGGUCCAGACUCCUACGGGAGGCAGCAGUGGGGAAUUUUGGACAAUGGGGGCAACCCUGAUCCAGCAAUGCCGCGUGAGUGAAGAAGGCCUUCGGGUUGUAAAGCUCUUUUGUCAGGGAAGAAACGGUGAGGGCUAAUAUCCUUUGCUAAUGACGGUACCUGAAGAAUAAGCACCGGCUAACUACGUGCCAGCAGCCGCGGUAAUACGUAGGGUGCAAGCGUUAAUCGGAAUUACUGGGCGUAAAGCGUGCGCAGGCGGUUAUGUAAGUCAGAUGUGAAAUCCCCGGGCUCAACCUGGGAAUGGCAUUUGAGACUGCAUGGCUAGAGUGUGUCAGAGGGGGGUAGAAUUCCACGUGUAGCAGUGAAAUGCGUAGAGAUGUGGAGGAAUACCGAUGGCGAAGGCAGCCCCCUGGGAUAACACUGACGCUCAUGCACGAAAGCGUGGGGAGCAAAAAGGAUUAGAUAUCCUGGUAGUCCACGCCCUAAACGCCAUAAAGUAGUUGUCGGGACGUAAUAAUUUUGGUAACGCAGCUAACGCGUGAAGUAGACCGCCUGGGGGGUACGGUUCGCAAGAAAAAAAAUCAAAGGAAAUGACGGGGGGCCCGCACACCCGGUGGAUGAUGUGGAUUAAUUUGAUGCAACGCGAAAAACCUUACCUACCCCUGACAUGUACGGAACCUCUGAGAGAUUAGAGGGUGCUCGAAAGAGAGCCGUAACACAGGUGCUGCAUGGCUGUCGUCAGCUCGUGUCGUGAGAUGAUGGGUUAAGUCCCGCAACGAGCGCAACCCCCCCCACUAAUAGCCAUCAUUUAGUUGGGCACUUUAAUGGGACUGCCGGCGACAAACCGGAGGAAGGUGGGGAGGACGUCAAGUCCUCAUGGCCCUUAUGGCCAGGGCGUCACACGUAAUACAAUGGUCGGUACAGAGAGUAGCCAAGCCGCGAGGUGGAGGUAAUAUCAGAAAGCCGAUCGUAGUCCGGAUUGUUCUUUGCAACUCGAGAGCAUGAAGUCGGAAUCGCUAGUAAUCGCGGAUCAGCAUGUCGCGGUGAAUAAAAAACCGGGCCUUGCCCUCGCCGCCCGUCAA
Molecule: ribosomal RNA, 1156 nt
Filed under: uncultured bacterium
Lineage: Bacteria
Description: bacterial SSU rRNA
Rfam family: Bacterial small subunit ribosomal RNA
Source: RNAcentral